GGGGGUAUAGCUCAGUAGUAGAGCAUUUGACUGCAGAUCAAGAGGGCUCUGUUUCAAAUCCAGAUGCCCUCU
Molecule: non-coding RNA, 72 nt
Organism: Epinephelus moara (kelp grouper)
Lineage: Eukaryota; Metazoa; Chordata; Actinopteri; Perciformes; Serranidae
Source: the annotation of a RefSeq genome assembly